UGGCGGACGGGUGAGUAACGCGUAGGAAUCUACCUUGCAGUGGGGGACAACCCGGGGAAACUCGGGCUAAUACCGCAUACGAUUUGAGGAUGAAAGCGGGUCUUUCGGGGCACGCGCUGUGGGAUGAGCCUGCGCCCGAUUAGCUUGUUGGUGGGGUAAAGGCCUACCAAGGCGACGAUCGGUAGCUGUUCUGGGAGGAUGAUCAGCCACACUGGAACUGAGACAUGGUCCAGACUCCUACGGGAGGCAGCAGUGGGGAAUAUUGCGCAAUGGGGGAAACCCUGACGCAGCAACGCCGCGUGAGUGAUGAAGGCCCUCGGGUCGUAAAGCUCUGUCAGGUGGGAAGAACAGGGAAAUUCCCAAUAAGGAUUUCCUUUGACGGUACCACCAGAGGAAGCACCGGCUAACUCCGUGCCAGCAGCCGCGGUAAUACGGAGGGUGCAAGCGUUGUUCGGAAUUACUGGGCGUAAAGCGCGUGUAGGCGGCCUGUUAAGUCAGAUGUGAAAGCCCUCGGCUCAACCGAGGAACUGCAUUUGAAACUGGCGGGCUUGAGUACGGGAGAGGAGAGUGGAAUUCCCGGUGUAGAGGUGAAAUUCGUAGAUAUCGGGAAGAACACCGGUGGCGAAGGCGGCUCUCUGGACCGAUACUGACGCUGAGACGCGAAAGCGUGGGGAGCAAACAGGAUUAGAUACCCUGGUAGUCCACGCUGUAAACGAUGGGCACUAGGUGUGGAGGGUAUUGACCCCUUCUGUGCCGGAGCUAACGCAUUAAGUGCCCCGCCUGGGAAGUACGGCCGCAAGGCUAAAACUCAAAGGAAUUGANNG
This 824-nucleotide ribosomal RNA is filed under the name uncultured delta proteobacterium. Its description in RNAcentral is "bacterial SSU rRNA". It matches the Rfam family "Bacterial small subunit ribosomal RNA", at positions 96 to 916 of the family's 1533-position model. The record is from RNAcentral. Lineage: Bacteria; Deltaproteobacteria.